ACAAAAGUACUAAUACAAACCCCACAAAGAGAGAAAAAGGAGAAGGGAAAAGGGAGGGUGAUGACAAUAUACUAUUUGGAUAUAAACAGAAACACCAAAGUUUCAAUCACAAUAAAUAAAUCAGCAGUAGUAAUAAUUGAGGAAUUGGAGAUCUAAAACAAAUUCCAACUUGAAUACAAAAAACUCUCAUUUUCUCCAUCUAAAAACUAAAGAGAUUAUUACAUAGAGAGAAUUCAAACAACCAAACAAACUCAAAAGAAAAAUUCACACAAGCAGAAGUUACUGAUCUGACUUAAAAAUUACAGAAUCUCACAACUCCAAAAGCAAGCAGAACUUGCCUUUUCUUUAUUUCCUAUCUUACAUCUGAAAAGGCUACACAACUUUUUAGAUAUACUCUAUAUAUAUGGAUGAACAAGUUCAGAUGAACUUGAUGGAAUUACCCUCCUGAUGCAGGAGUUGGUGGUGGAGUGGUGGAAGCUGAGGUGGCGGCGGUGGAGCUGCCGUCAAAGUCGUCAUCUCCGCCGGCACCAUCACCUCCUCUAAAGGGAAAUAGAGAGCUUACAGUCUCGACAAAACUCUCAAAAAUUUGAGCUUUGAUCUUACCCCUUUUGGGUGGAAGUGCUCUCUUUUGUGUCUGUUGCAUGUUUGGUGUUGUAGCUGCUGCCAUUAGAAUAUAGGAAGUAACAGAAAAGUAGCCGGAAAAUAUGAAGAGAAAAGAAGAAGGAGAAAUUCAAGUAGGCUUUGAAAAUACAGCCUAUAUUAUAAGAAUAUGAAGGGAAGAAAGAGAUCAAGAACUAAGGGGGAGAAAUGAAAAGUCAGGGGGAUGUGGCCGGAAAAAGCCCCAUCGGAGAGGAAAUUAAAGAAGAAGAGGAAGUGAGAGCUAAAGGAGGACAAAUACGUGGAGUUGAACUGCUUUUUUAUAGGAAAUUUUUUAUGGUAUUUACGAAGAAUAUUCUGUUCAUGAAAGUAGUUCACAUUUACACGAAAGUAUAUUAUACUGUACUAAGUAGAUGUAGUUUAUACUAGUAGUAUUCGAAAUUGAGUAACUUGGCCUUCCGGUCUAGUAUUGUCCUACCGUUAGGAGUUUUUUUUUUGUUUUUGCCCUUGAUUUUAACGGAGCUCCAUAUGUUUGAAUUAUAAUAAAAAAUUGAAGAGUAAUUUAAUGCGGACAUUUUUCUCGAAAAAUUAAAACGUGUAGAGUCCACUAUUUUACGUUUCAGUUCCAUUAAUGACGAGGAAAAAUAUGAAAUAAUUUGCUAACAAAACGAUAUAAAUAAUCCAACAAAGUAAAAUGGACAAAUUUGAACAUUAAUUUCAAAUAGUACAUAUAUAUUUUUGGGAAAAUGACAGUGUAUAACCUCUCUCAAAUAACUUUUUUCACCUUUAGCUCACGCUAGAAACUAUUUAUAUUCGAUAGUCGAAAAAGUGUAAAAAAAUUGUAUAAUUUUUGUAUAUAGCACAUAUAAUGUGUAUAUAUACAAGAAAUAUACCAAAAAAUAUAUUUUUCGGCUAUUAUUUUGAGGCGGUUAUGCAAUGUCAUUUUCCUAGGCAAAGGUCAAUUUUAACCCCCAACAGAAACUAUUUACAUUCAGUAACUGCAAAAGUUUAUAACGCGGAUUAAAAGUAAUAAUAUCCAUGUAUGUUUCCUCUUUUCACCCUCUAUACAUAUGUUGUCUACUUGUACACUUUGCUCAUUUAUGGAACGUUUAUUUCUAACCAUAUUUUGAUUCUUGACAUAUAAUUGUCGAAGAGGUAGACCCGAUAGCCUAUUGAGAGUAUUGCGUGACAGUGAGUUGUUGCUGUAUUUUUGUGUAUAGCUAUAUGCAUAGUUGAGGGUACUUUUGUAAUUAGCUAACAUAGUUGGUGAAGUAUUCUUUCCAUACGUGUAUAUGUAUAACACAAUAUAGAAAUACAGAUCAGAUUUCUCUUUACCAAAUUUAUUCUCUCUCUAGAAGCUUCUAUUGGUCUCUUUUCUUCUCUCUCGUCUGUUCCUUGUAAGCUCAAUCGCUACAUUAAUGGAAGCUUCUGCUUGCAUCUAAACUCUUAAUUUUGACAUGGUAUCAGAGCUAAGGCUCAGUGUUAACUCAAUUCUCGUUCAGGCUCAUCUCUUUCAUCACUAAUCUCUGUUUGUUUUAAAGUUGCAAGUCAAAAUUGGGAAACUCUAAUUUUCACCCACAGUUUUUCAGAUCUGCGAUUAACUCAUCUUAUAUCAUGGAAGUAGAUGGCGAUACUUUGAAUUCAACUAAUUCACCAAAUGUAAACAAAGAUACAUUGGAUUCGACCAAUCCUUUGUACAUGCAUCCUUCAAAGAGUGCCGGGUCAACACUAGUGCCGAUGGUAUUUGACGGAACUGGUUAUAGAUCCUGGAGAAGAGGCGUCCUCAAAGCCCUCUCAGUGAAGAAUAAGGUCGGUUUCAUCACCGAAAAAUGUAAGAAGCCAGAUUCCGGCCAUCCGACAUUUGAGCAGUGGGAGAGAUGCGACGACAUGGUGACAUCGUGGAUUCUCAACUCACUUUCAAAGGAUUUGGCAAAUAGCUUACAGUAUGUGGUCGAUGCAAAGGAGUUGUGGCAGGAACUGGAAGAUAGGUACGAUAAGAUGAAUGGAGCGAAAUUGUACCAGCUUAAAAGGAAAAUUAACGACCUAAGUUAGGGAACCCUAGACAUUACAGGAUAUUAUACAAAAAUGAAGAAGCUUUGGGAAGAGGUUAACACAUUAAAUGCACAUGCACAAUGUAAGUGCCAGUGUACUUGUGGAGCCAAGGCAAAUAUGCACAAGGCUGAACAAGACAGAAGGCUAAUUAGGUUUCUAAUGGGUUUAAAUGAGGUCUACACAGUUGUGAGAGGAAGCAUUUUGAUGAUGAAUCUGUUGCCCAGUAUUGCACAAGCCUUUUCUAUCCUAAUCCAGGAAGAAAAACAAAGGGAAGUUAGGCCAACCAACCAUUUGAUGAUGGAGUCUACUUCAAUGAAUGUCAGUGGUCUUGCAAAUCCAGCUUUUAGGACAAAUUAUGCUCAACAGAGGAACACUUUAGGAAACAACUCAUAUAGAGGCAGUUAUCCAUCCAAUAGGUCACGCCUGUUUUGCGACUACUGCAAGAAGCAAGGACACACUAAAGAUAAAUGCUACAAACUACACGGAUUUUCCCAGGACUUCAAAUUCACUAAAGGAAAAAGUGUGGCAUCUGCUGCAAGUAUGCAUGGAGGACCUCAAGGGAUAGUUCCUGAGGAUGCAGUGAAGUUGGUGCUGGAAAUCAAAGCAUGGGGAUUCAACACCUGACAAAGGAGCAAUAUAAUCAGUUACUGCAUCUGUUGGAGAACUUCCAUGGUAGAAAUGCAAUUGGAGUCUCAAAUAACAUCACUAGUGGGGCAGCAAACUUUGCAGGUAUAUUGACUAUUUGUGGCACAACAGAUUGGGCUAUGUACCUUUUGUGAAAAUGAGGGGAAUAUCAUCCAUACCUGUAAAUUUUGCACCCAAACAACCAUUCUUAUGUUCAAUUUGCUCUAUGGCCAGACAAACAAGACUACCAUUUUCACAGAAAAACACAUCAUCUACCAAUGUUUUUGAACUAUUACACAUAGACCUCUGGGGGCCAUACCACACAGUCACACAUGACAAUUACAAAUAUUUCUUACCAUAGUUGAUGACUUUAGUAGGUCAACCUGGACAUAUCUUAUGAGUUGUAAAAGUAAUACACUUCAAGUUCUAAGAACCUUUGUGUGUAUGAUAGAAAAUCAGUUUAAUUCUUCCAUUAAGUCCAUGAGGUCUGACAAUGGACUAGAGUUUGUCAACAAUGAAACUUCAUCAUUUUUUCAUUCCAAAGGAAUUAAACACCAGAAAAUCUGUCCAUACACACCUCAACAAAAUGGUGUGGUGGAAAAAAAACACAGAUAUUUAUUGGAAACUGCAAGAGCCUUACUGUAUCAGUCCAAGUUACCUAUCAAAUAUUGGGGAAAAUGUAUCUUCACAGCCGCAUACUUGUGCUAAUUUCUCAGAGUGAAUUCGUUUUCUCAUUUUUGACAUCCAGACUUAGUUUACGACCCCCGAACAUGAUCCCGGCUUAAUAUCUUGGGCUUCUACUCAGACUUCAAAGCUUUAAAUAGCUCGGAUUAGCUGCACAACAUCUACAUAACUCGGAAUCACUCCUACAAGGCAUAAAACACAUAAUAAGUACAAAAACUCUACCAAUUAAAGCUCAACACAAGUAAAGUGAAGUGAAUUAGAGUGUAAUAAGCGACUAAAAUAUGGUAUUAUAGCCUACCAUUAACACCCCACACUUAAACCAUUGCUCGUCCUCGAGGAGUCAAACUACACUUCACAUAGACACGACCUUUUUAAAGAACUCUCCUAACUCAUCACACCAAGAAUAAUCAAACACAUUAAGCAAAAUACCGUAACCUCCUAGCCUCAAGAGUUGACUCAACAACACCACGUAUUUUUCACAACCCGCUCACUUGCUCUAACACAGAGGUUGACGACAUUACCUUUCCUUCGUGAAUCAAGUGCCAUCACACAACAAUAGAGAGUAGUUUCACACAUAAUAAAAUUUAAGAACAAUUAGGAACUCAAGAUAGAAAGAAUUCACUCACUCUCAGAAGUGACAUUCAUAUACCACAAAAGAGGUACCAUAAGCUUGCCCGUAAUGUACUACUCUACUAGUUGAGCUCAUUUAGUCAAGGAUCAAGUAGGACUUUAUUUAGAUGUAAUGUAAGAUGCGGUAUGUGUAGGAUAUAUUUGGAAAUAAGCGUGACUACACCUCCCUGGGCACUUUAAUACAUACAAUUUAACUAUUUAAAACUCUAUACUUAUGUUAAACCAUAACUCCACCUUCACAUCAGUAUACAUCAUCUCCUAACUUCUUUAAGCACAAAUACAUUAAGAGUUACCACAAUCAAUGCAUUGUUUUUUUCAUUUUCUUUUUCAAUUCAAGUGGCUCUUAUUUAUUUAUUUUCAAAAUAGUACACCUUUCUCCUUAUUCCAAUAGUUUCGCUCAAAAGCCAAACCAACACCCCACACAUUAACUUUUACAAAGUUCAUAAUUAUUUCAUGUGCUCUAAGAGGUAAGAAGGUUCAAAUAGAUGGUCAAUUCAAACAAUGGGGUAAGGCUUGUAAUGUGGUUGCCAAAAAAAUAGGAUUAUAGGCUCAAAGGGGUCAACUAGGAUACAUAACAAUUAGGUGGGUAACAAUUUAUAACUAGUUCAACAAAGAAAUACCUAUAUCACUUCCAAGACUGAAUAAACUACUAUUUCUCUUUGCAAACACACGAGGCAAAUUUUAGACAUCAAAUGCAAUGCAUAGAAUACCCAAAACCUCACACACACAUGGCACAUACCUCACUCAGGAUCAGACUCAUCAAGACACUCUAGUCAAAGCAGUUAAGCAAAGUUAAGAUCAUACAAUUUAAGGUACUUAUAUAAGAGUCAAAAACUGAGCAUAAGCAUCAUAACUAAAGCACUUACUAUUCUCAAGGCAUAAUAAAAUCAAGAGAUAUUGCUUUCAUUUAAAAUCACAGCGCAAGAUUUCCUACUCCUAAAAAAAAUAAAACUAACUACACCCGAUUCAAACAAAACACUUGAAAAAGAACCGCGGCACAAAAAAAUAUCAAGGGGGGAUUAUUAUACUACCUAAAGAAAAUAAUACUUUUUAUUCUUUGACUUUAAAAUUUUCAAUCAAAAGAAUCGAAAACUCAUACAAGAAACGAAAACAAAAAGUUAUUUACAUCCCCACCCCACACUUUAAAUUGUGGCAUGUCCCUAUGACAUACAAAUAAAAAGCAAGAGGUAAAGAAAACUCCCUUGAACUUUUUUGAUUUUCGAGAACUUGUGAAUUUCACCCCUAAUUCUGAAUUAAUUCUUCGUUUUUCCUCCUCGAGAUUCUUUAUGGAGCUCAUCAGGCCAAACUCCUCUAAGGAUAUUUGUAAAACCCGCUCUUUUCUUUCUUUCUUGGCCUCAUUUUGAGCGGUGGAUUAUUCUUGUAAGAUUAUCCUCAACUUGUUUCUGCAUUCAUUUACAAGAUCAAUUCCCGCAUAUUCCUGUAAAUCCCCAAAAAUAAAAUCCACAUGAUCAAGGUUAGAAUAAGAAAAUAAGGAAGAAAGGUCAUGUGAAUAUUUUUGUGGUAUGUCCAAGACCAAUGCUUCUUCAUUCUCUUCUACUAAAAAUUGUAAAUGUGGAUACGUGGAUAGCGAUUUGAACUCUUCUUUUAUUUCUUCAUAAUCCACCAAAGCCUCAUUUUCAAUCAUCUCAGUUGAAACAGAGUCCUCUUGUAGAGUGAAAAACUCUCUCAGUAGAUGUUCAUUAUCUCAGGUAGGCUCAUUCUUACCGGGUAUCUCAUCCAUAUAUUCACCAUCACAAUGCAAUGAGCUUUCUGAAAGUGUACUUAUUAUUUGACUCACUUGAAUUGUUAGGUUGCUAAUGGCUUCAUCAUUUUGUGUAAGUCUCUCUUCUACCUUAUUUAUGAACUUAUACGCAAGCUCUUCUAAACUACCAUCUUUCCCUUGAGUUGGUUGUCUCACUUCGCUUUCAUUCUAGUCAUAAUAAGGGUAUUAAUCCCAACAAGAGUCAGAAUUGUGCCCAUAUGAAUCCUCAUACCUGUACAGACUAGAAACAGAGUGAGAGUUUUCAAAAUAUGAACCAUAAGAAGAAUGCCUACCUGCUUGACAAUUAACCCAUAGAUGAUUUCCACCGCUUUUAAAACACAUAGCAGACCGCUGACAAUGUUUAGUUGCUAACCCUUUAACCGUUUUCUUAGGCUGGUUGUACUCCAUCUUUACAAUAUUUAGAGUUCGGUAUCAAGAAUAUGCUCUUCAAGAUUUCUUCAACAAAAGAAAUCUUGAAGAGAAGUUAACAUAACAAAACUAAAAAUAAAAAAAAUUAAAAUUAAAAGUUAAUUCCUGAAUUAGCACUACAAACUAUUUCAAACACUAUUGAUUGCCAAUCCCCGGCAAUGGCACCAAAAUUUGACGAGUGCAAAACAUGCACUGCAAAUUAUGCUCGCUAGUCAAAGAUAGUAUAGUAUAUUAUUGUGUCCAAAUAUAUUGGAUUUAAACAGUAUUCUCGUACGUUUUAUCUUGAUUGCUAUCCAGGAGGAUCAACAGUUGAGAUUUAUAUGAUUAAUAAUAAAAUUUAACUAAGAAGCUAAAAUUUACAGCUAUUGAUUAGUGACUAUCGAAACAAGGAGUAAGCAACUAAGGUUAUCAGUGGGAGAGGAUAUGGUUUUGACAGAAUACGUGCAAGAUAAUUGUUCGGGUUCUAACUCUAGUUAAUUCACUUUCAAUGUUCAAGUGAGUCUCUCGAAUUCACUCUAUUAUUAGUUCAAACAUUCAGCAAAAACUCAUCUCUCGAUUAAGUCUUAACAUCACGAGAUGAACCAAUUUAAGCCCUACAAAGAUAUGCAAGAAUGCGUAGUGGAUCGGUCUUUAGGAAAACCUCUUUCGAUUAAUCUCCUAACUAGAUUUAAUCAACGAUUCAACUAGCCUUUUUCGAUUACUUAGAAGAAUCUAUGGACUCAACCAACAAUAUAAUGCAAGAAUAUCACAAGUUAUGCCUCUUUCGAUUACAAGAACAAGUGAAUAUAUAUACAAUAAUUAAAUCUUCCAAAAACGAUCCAAAUACAUAAAAAUAGAGUUAUAAUCCACAAACAAUCAUCAAUACACCAAAUCCAUUAAAACCCAAAAGGAUCUAUUCCAUAGACAUGGAGAAGUUCUUUACAAAUGUAACUAAAGUAUAGGAAAACAUAAAUUCAAUCCAAACCUGGAUCUUGAGUGAGCAAGGAAUAAUGAAAUCUUUGUGCUUGUGCUCUUCCAACUCCUCCAUAGCCUCAUUGGCCUUCUUAGGUCAAAAAUGUGUCAAAAGUCCAUCUAAAAUGGUGUUAUGGUGUAUUUAAGCCACCACAAAAUAAACUCCGGACAAAACUACCCUUUUUUAGCAGAAAUGGAAAGUCACUCUAAUAUUUUUAGGCCACUACGUAGCGCCCCGCCCCGCCCCAUGCGGCGCGCAUGUAGGAAAUUCCAGAAAGUUUGAAAAACUCAUUUCUGGCCACUUUUUGCACUAGCGCCCCGCAGGGCAUGCCGUGGGGCAGUAGUGCAAAUUUCUUAGAGUGAAUUCGUUUUCUCAUUUUUGACAUCCAGACUUAGUUUUUGACCCCCGAAUGUGAUCCCGACUUAAUUUCUUGGGGUUCUACUCAGACUUUAAAACUCCAAAUAGCUCGAAUUAGCUCCACAACAUCUACAUAAAUCGAAAUCACCCCUACAAGGCAUAAAAUACACAAUAAGUGCAAAAACAUUACCAAUAAAAGCUCAAUACAAGUAAAGUACAGUGAAUUAGAGUGCACUAAGCGACUAAAAUACGGAAUUAUAGCCUACCAUCACCUUCAUAUGCAGAAUUUCAAACUCUUUGUGAAGAGCUUGCAAUUGUGCUCUCUUAACUCGUGUAUUACCCUGAUAUUUCUACUUCAUAAAAUCCAAUAUAUUCUUUACGGUCUCCUUUUUCGGAAUUGUUUCCAAGACCGAACGAUCUAAUGCUUGAAAGAGAAAGUUCUUUGCUUUCAAUUCUUUUAAUAUUUGAUCAUCAAUGUUCUUCUUUUGUGCAUGGGUCAUACCUUCUGUUGCUGCAGGAAUUCCAUCCUUCAUAAGGCCCCAGUAUUCCUUUGAUCAUAGGAAAUUCUCCAUAAGCAUCGCCCAAUGAUCAUAGUACCCAUCAAACUUCGGUACUGCCGGUUGGACAAAGGAACUCUCUAUUGUCAUAUUUGGAUUGCCAAAUACUUAGAAGACUGUGACUUCUAACGUCGUGACAAAGCUCUGAUACCAAAUGUUGAAAACCAAAGAAAACUUAUGUAGAGAGAAGAAAAUGAAGGAGGAACUCGAUAAUUUUAUUGAAACGAAUAUGGCUAUAUAUAGCCUUAUAUAACCGAUGUCUAAAGCUAAAACUAUAUUUUGUAGAGUCUAACAAAUUCUAACGACGUGAAGAACUCAACAAACAAUGAACUCGAAUAACAUUAGGAAGCUAAACACUAAGGCCUCAUUUGUUUGCACUUAAUUGAGGUCUCGAUCUUAAUCAUUCAGAUUUCAGACAUUAAAUGCAUUUAUUUUUAAAGUUUGAAUCUUAAUUAUUCAUAUUAAUCAUUAAGUGUAUUUAUUUUUUACGUCACAACCACUUAAUGGGUCUGAAUAGACCUAUAUAAUUAAAAUCUAUAACAGAAACUUAAUUUUAUUAAGAUAUUAUCAUCCAUAUUCAUUAUUAACUCUCACCACUGCCUACCAUUAUCAACUACCAUGAUGCCACCACCACCACCAUACUCAACCACCACUACCACCAUCAUCAUCAAUCAUAGCCGCCACCAUUAUUGUUACAAACUAUGUUUUCGUAAGUACGAGUACGUCGUAAGUCAAUUGAUGUAAGCUCAGAAAUGAAAUCAUAUUUGAAAAGUUUACAAAGUAAGUUAAUCAUAUUACCUCGGAGGUUAAAAAUAUUAAAGAUCAUGAACAACAAGUACAAAGAUGGUUGGAAGGUUCAGAAGCUAAAGGAAUUAAAAAAAAAAUGUUUCGUCGAAAGUCGACAAAUUGGGAAUGUUAUAACAUGUACUUUUGGAGUGAGACCAGGGUGUUUAACAUGAUAAGGAGGUUAUAUUAUGAGCUAUUUUAGUCGUAUGAUAAUCGUGUGUUAUGUUUUGAAGUCAAGCGAGUGGUGAAACAAAAGUCGAUGAAAGUCAUCUCAAGUUACGUUCAUAAGUUUAACUGAAACUUUGGGUCAAAUGUAACUGCCAUUUUCUCCCAAUAUACGUAGAGUUAUGGGGUGUUCCAACCAUAAAAUGAAAUAUCUAUGAGUCUAUUUUCCAACGUAUUAAACCGUUUGUCAAUACGAUAUUGUAGUAGAGAGAUAUGGGCCUUUUUGUGAGACUGCGCAGACUGUCACCUGCUUGCUUAAACGAGAAUCCAAAACUGGGCCUGUUCGGGUCGUCCAAAAAUGGGCCAGUUUAGGUCGUUCAAAGAGGACUUUUUAAAGACCUAUCCCCUUCAUAUAUUAGGAUUAUAAUAGGGUAAAAUAACCAGACUUAAUCUCUGCAAAACUCCUCCCAAAUAUUUUCCCCAAACCCCAAUUGAUUUUCUCUCCCUUUCAAGUUCUAAUUGGAGGUAAAGCCUAGAGUUUGAAGAGCCAAAAUAGGAGCCGAGUUAUCAAACAAAUAAGGUAAGUUUACUGCUCUCUUUCAUCCAUUUUUUUCUGUUGUAGAUGCAUAGUAGGUCGUUCUAUAUUUGUAAGAACUCACGGGACGGUGAUCGGAAGUCGUGAGUUCGAGUAAUUCACUUGUAGCAGACUGUUUUAUGGACUAUUUUAUGGACUGUUUUGUGGUAUAUUGUGAUGGAGAUAAGGUUGAAAAAUGAUUCUUAUAUGUUAUUGUUGUGUUCUUGUUGUUGUUGGUAUAUGGUAUUGGAGGAGGGCCUAGUUAUAGGGGAAAUGCUGCCCAAAUUUAUGUAAACGAGCUACUAGUUUAAGUUGAGGACUUAGCCUUUACUUAACACUGAUUUUGAAUCUCCUUAUGAUGUGGUAGAUUGAAUUGAGUUGUUUGAAUAAUUUUUUGGAAGGUAUUAAGGAAUCAAUGGAAUUAAGGUAUGUUAAGGCUAUCCCUUCUUUCUUUUUGGCAUGAUCCAAAUGAGACAAACGAAACGAGCAAAAUACGCAAAUUUCAUAAAUGACUCUAUUCAUAGAAAUACUAGGGGUGUCUAUAUUCUUGAUUCCCCAUGUGAAUUAUUAUUAUAUCCUAUGUUCACGGGUCUUAGAAAAAUACGUAUUUGAUAAAGUUUGUCUGAAAGGCAUAUUGAUUUUAUGAUAUUUGAGAAAUUUUAUUAACGAAUUUCUUAUGCAUUUCAUGCAUUUAUACAUUUACAUUGACCCACGACCAGAAGGCAUUAUAUACGCGUAUAUUAUAUGUAUAUGGGAUAUGGAAAAAAGGUUAAGGCNNNNNNNNNNNNNNNNNNNNNNNNNNNNNNNNNNNNNNNNNNNNNNNNNNNNNNNNNNNNNNNNNNNNNNNNNNNNNNNNNNNNNNNNNNNNNNNNNNNNNNNNNNNNNNNNNNNNNNNNNNNNNNNNNNNNNNNNNNNNNNNNNNNNNNNNNNNNNNNNNNNNNNNNNNNNNNNNNNNNNNNNNNNNNNNNNNNNNNNNNNNNNNNNNNNNNNNNNNNNNNNNNNNNNNNNNNNNNNNNNNNNNNNNNNNNNNNNNNNNNNNNNNNNNNNNNNNNNNNNNNNNNNNNNNNNNNNNNNNNNNNNNNNNNNNNNNNNNNNNNNNNNNNNNNNNNNNNNNNNNNNNNNNNNNNNNNNNNNGGGNACACUGCAUUUCAUGCCCGCAGGUCCCGAUAGACAGGUUGAGAGUUAUCCAAGUAGGCUAUCAGCUCAGCGGAAGAUGUUGGUGCGCUUCAUUUGCUUCAGAGUUGCUUAUUUGGUCAGUAUGAUUCAAACGUGUAUUGUUUAGUAUGGCGGGGCCCUGUUCCGACCUUUAUGGUAUUUAUCUUCUCUUAGAGGCUUGCAGACAUAUUCCAUGUACGUAAAAGAUUAUAUGGCCUUGUCGGCCUAUGUUUAGUAUACGAGUGAUCAUUUUGGUCUGAUAGGCCCAAGUUGGUAUUUCAUCUUUUAUUCUACUUAUCUCACGACAGCCUCUCCGACUCAUUUACCUAUGAUAGUAUGAUACGAAAGAUAUGUUACAUUGGUACUUUGUUGAGUAAGGUACCGUGUGGAAAAAUACCACAUAAAUACAGGAUGUUGGGCUGGUCGUUCAUCGUAAUAUUUUUGGAUUGUUGACACUAUUACGGUGGUCAUUUUGUGUAUGAAGAUAUUGGAGUGUGUUGGGCUGUUUUGUAGUAUUGUGUGGUGUGCAUAAGGUUGGAAAAUAAUGUAUAUAUGUUGUUAUUGUUGUUUUGGUGUUGUUGGUGUUAUCUUGAAUUUGGAGGAAGUAAGGAUUAUAGGGGAGAUGCUGUCCGUUUUAAUACUAAAUAAGCUUGCCGUUCGUUGUGCGUUAGUUGUACCUUUCGUAACUUAAUGAUAGUAUUAUUAUCGCUGUUGUAGAUUAAGGUGAGAAGAGGCGAGUUCAAGUUAGUGAUUGGAAAAAUUGUGAUAAGGUAUGUUAAGGCUAAACCUUUCUUCAUUUUGGCAUGAUCCCGUAACUACAUGAGUUUGAUAACAAGGCAUAAAGAGAAAUUCGUAUUCCUGAAUUUAUUCACAUUAUCCUAGUCUCAGAAGUUACAGUAUUCUCCCUUAUCGGGACUUCAUAUUCAGUUUAGUAUUGUCUUCUUUUAGUAUAUAUAUAUAUAGUAUUUUUACCACCAUCGAGCUAUAAUCGCUGAGCAGGCCCCUAUUGGGCAACCUCUGAUCAGAUGGUAAGUUAUACACCGAGCCUACUGUAGCCGAGCGCCUUUGAGCGAGCCCAGAAUGGCCGAGAUACAGAGCCUAGUAUGGCCGAGCGCCUAUGAGCGAGCCUACUACGGCAGGGCAGUUACACAUACCGAGCCUUAUAGGGCCGGACAUCUAUUUUACAUACUAUAUGGAGAGAGUUGAGUCAGUAUCAGCACGUAAGCAUAUCUUCAGAUUAUUUUUGACUCCCAGUUACAUUCAGUUAUUAUAUCAUCAGUUCAGUUUCAGCAUUCACUUAUUUUGUUUCCUUACAUACUCAGUACAUUAUUUUGUACUGACGUCCCUUUGCUGGGGACGCUGCAUUUCAUGCCUGCAGCAGCUGAUAGACCUUCCCAGUAGACUGAGCCAAAUAUCAGCUUGGUUGGUAAGCUCACCUUGGAGUCCGUUUUAUAUAUACAGGUUUUACUGGGUAGGUCGAGGCCCUGUCCCGACCAUAAUACAGUUCAACUAUCUAUAGAGGCUUGUNNNNNNNNNNNNNNNNNNNNNNNNNGGGGCGUGAUAAUUAUCGUCUAUCACCACCCACGAUCCCCACCACUCUCACAACCAUCAUUCUCAACCACAAUCAACACUCAUCCACCUCAACUACCACAACUAACCACCCCAUGACCAUCAACAACCACAACCGCAAUGUCCAUCAUUAUAACCUACCGCCACCCGCCACCACCUUCCUCAAUUACAACUACCACCACCACCCGCCAUUAUUAAAUAUCAUGACCCACCACCACCACUAUCAAUUACCACUAACUACUAUCCUGAACCACCACCAUCAACCAAAACUACCAUCAAUCACCGCCUCUAAUCGGCAUUCACCCGUUAGCCAUCACCACCAACCACUAUCAUAUCUUUAAUAACUAUAUAUUUUAUUGAUAGAAUAUUAGAUUAAUUAGCAUUUCAUUUGAAUUUUAUGAUUUUAAAUUUUCAAAUAAAGAUAAAUUUUAUACAUUCAGCUGUUAAAAAUCAAACAGUUUUAAUCAUUCAGUAUUCAGAUCGUAAUACACAUCUUAAUAUUCAGAUAUGUAUUCAGAUUCAGAUAUCUUAAUCUUGAUACGCAUGUUGAUAUUCAGAUUCAGACGUCAUAAUGUUAAAAAAUAAAUGAGGCCCGAAAGACUCCUAACAAUCUGAAUACUUGCGAGAUAUUUUUAUUUUUUAGACAUAUCAACUGUACAUUUGCACUCUUUUAUUAUAAAAAAUGGAAAGGCUUUAUCCCAGCAAAUAGAAGAUACUCAGCUCCGCACAACAUAGGGAUUAGCACACUUUCGGGAAGAACAUAGAAUAGUAGAAGAUCCAGCAUGCAGAACACGACGAUCAUUAUAAAUUCACAAAUUAGAAAUGUUGUAAUAUACUCUUUCCCAUAACUUCUCAUACCAGACCAACCCACCAAAAUACAAAUAGGGAUCAGAAAUAUAGUCAAUAUCACAAAAAAUAAAGAGAUAUCGUCUAUACCCAAAUAAAAAUUGGCGUUUUCAUAAGGAAGCCAUAGAAGGCUUUCCACAAAUUGAGAUUUGGCUGUAGAAGGAUCAAAUUAUAUCCGAAGAACAGGAGGAUACAAAAAAGUAAUAAGAGAGGCGCACAGAUCAAUUAAUCGUAUCAGUCGUGUUCUUGAAUUUGGAAUGAAAAGAGGAGUAAUGCUUCCUAGCACGAGAUAAAGAAUAAGACCACUUAGAUCAAAAUAGCAUUCACAGAAAUAUUCUAACAUAGAGUAGAAUCGAACGUGGAAGAGAUUCAUUGACAACAGUAAAAAGAUGGGCGCCUAAUUCCAAUACAAUAGGGGUCUAUCAGUGUAAGUCAGCUGAACACUGUGAUUUAUGAGUGGGUAGGUGGGUUAGGUGCACCUCUCGCUCAGUAGGAAGUAAUGAGGCUAGUCUCCCCCCUUCCCCCCUGAAUGAAGAAGUAAUGGGGGGUCCUUCCCGCGUAUGCGCCUUUCUUUAUAUUCUUUCUAUUUUUGAAUUACCAAUGGAGAGCAAACAAGGGACGCCUCAUUAAGCAAGAACCCGAGCUAAGAGCGGGGCAGUUCCAUUAAUGUAUAGAGAAAGCUCCAAGCAACUACCAUUGAUCAACCUUAUUCAGGCACAUCAAUCAAAGAUCUUGCUUACCUAACUUUCUCGGUGAAGGAGAGAAAGUUUGACAAGCUAAGAAAGUCUCGUUGAAAGCAGGAACUCAGACUGUGACGGUUAUUUUCAUUAGUUUCUAAGGCUUGAUUGACCCUUGGGAUUGAAUCUGGCUAGGGGGUGCCCUCGUAAAGACUAAAACCUCGUUACGCCGAAAAUAGUAGAUGUGCGACAAUGCUUUGGUAGUGAGUGAAAACUUACUUUCUGUCUAGUUAGUAGGAAUUUCUUGCCUGCUAAGAGAUUAGUCCAAGUUAGACCGAGAAGUAAGAGUUUGUAAUUGAAGUCGGGGGGCUGAAUAGAUAAAUUCUCUUCCCACGUAGCGCUAAGAAGCAAGUUCCGACAACCUAUGAUGAAAUAGCACCAAAAAAAAAGGGCUACACGAAUAAUAGUGUUAGUAGUUCGUGAGGCUAAUUUUGAGCUAGAUAGUGAAUUGGUGUUUACUGUAGCACUAUCUGACCUUGAAGAUUAAGUUAGUGUACCGCGAACUCCAUCCCACAUAUUUUAGAUACCGUGGUAUCAAUUAUCUAGUUACAUUCUAUUACCGGUGCCAGCUAUUUUUACCUGGUUAAGAUACACAUUUGGGUUCUUUCGAUUAUGGGAGCCAGCUAUUUACUAGCCUAUCAUUCCUAAAGUGUAUUAACUCUCUUGUCUCAAAGGAAAAAAAGAAAGAAAAAGAAAAUGAAUAACCAUCACUUAUCCUUGAACUUAGCCACUAAAUGACACUAAUACUACUAUUUUCGUGUGAACAGAAUAUUCUAGUAAUUAAUUUGACUGGUCUAGUUCAUCCACUUGUAUUAUAAUUCUAGAACAAUUUAAUUAUUUAGUGGAGUACUUUAUACUUUUUAUUAAGGUAUCAAACCGACAUAAGAAAAAAAACCAAACUUUUAAAACGAAGCAUCGGUAUCACUCUUGCUUACGUCAUCAGUAUCAUCUUGCUUACGUAAUCAAUGAUUUUAAUAAUUUGAAGUGUUUGACAAAGUUUGUAGGAGAAAAAAAGUAUUUUUGUGGAGAAACAUAAGCAGUUUUAGAGAAAUAGAAAAAAAUAACUUCUUUUCAUAAGCACUUUUUUUGAGAAACACUAUUAAAAAAAAUACACUUAUAAGUACUUUUUAAUAGCACUACUUGUUGCUUAAAAACACUUUUUCAAUUAAUUAGUCAAACAGAAAUUGCUUCAUACCAAAAAUAUUUUUUUUAAAAACACUGUUAAAAAAAAACACUUCUCAAAAUAAAUUAUUUUUCAACUUUGUCAAGCGGGCUAUAAAAUAGGUAAAAAGUGAAAUUUAUCAUGCCUCCCUUAUCUAAUACUCCAUCUGUUUCAACAAUAAUGAAUUUAUUACCAUCGGCGAAUCAACUAAGGUUUUUUCAAUCAUUUUUUUUGGUAAAUGAUUUUUAAAUAUUUUCUUUUUUUGACUUAUAGUAUUUUUUUAAUAUAACUUUUAAAUAUGUAAUUUUAUUUCAAAGAAUAUAUAAACUUUAUAUCCGGAUUUACACCUAAAAUUAGUUAAUUUGAUCAUCCGAAAAGAUUUAAACAAUUGAAACAGAGAGAGUAUAUUAUUAAUCAAUUAAUUCGAAGUAUAGUAGCAGAAAAAAAAGUACUCCUACUAAUAGAAAAGGGAUACAAAGAGUUUGCGAGAGAGAGAGAGUCCAAGAAAUGAAAAAGAGUUUGAGAGAGAGAGUCGAAGAAAGAGAGAGCAUGAUAAGGAAAGCAAAAGAAGAGUAAGACUACCAAAGAAGGAGGCUAUCAAGUCUCUCCCACGAGACAAUUAAAGUGACUACUUUCUAAUCCGUUACAUGUCGACCAAAUCCAUAAAUUUAGGGUGUGUUUGGUAGGAGUAUGGAAAAUAUUUUUCUGGAAAAUGAGUGAUUUUAUUAUUAUUAUUUUUGUUUGGUUGAUGAGUGAAAAACUUUUUCGAAAAAUAUUUUGUAAUGUUUGGUUAGAGAGUAUAAAAUAUUUAUAGAAAAAUAAAUUUUUAUGCUACUCUCCUCAACCCACAUUCCUCUAAAUCCUAUGUUGAAUGAUAGAAUAUAGUUUUUGUACAUCAUGAAAAGAAAAUACUCAGUUUGAUGAAAUAAAAGAAAAUAUUUUUUCUACACCAGAAAAAGAAAAUACUUAAUUUGUUGAAAUGAAAGAAAAUACUACUUAUAAAUCAUGAAAAAAAUACUUGUUUUGUUGAAAUAAAAGAAAAUAUUUUUUCGACAUCAUGAAAAAAAUACUCGUUUUGUUAAAAUGAAAGAAAAUACUUUUUUCUGCAUCAUGAAAAAAAUAUGCUCAUUUUGUUGCAAUAAAUUUUUUUUUUAUUUACAAUAUGAAAAGAAAGUACUCUUAAUAAUAUUUCUAGUUAGGGUGAAUGGUAAGCAAUGUUAGGGUGGGUGGGGUAUGGCGGUAAGGGUAGGGGUGGUUUGGGGGGUGGGGAUGGAUGGGGUGGUUGGUGAGGAUGUGGAAUAGGGUGAAGAAUGUUGAAAAAGAAUUUUAAAAAAUAUUUUUCCUACUUUUGAUAGAGAAAACUUGGAGGAAAAUGAGUUCAUGAGGAAAAUAUUUUUCAAAACAUUUAAGUCACCCAAACAUGAAAAAAUUAAAAAAUAUUUUCCGAAAAAUAUUUUCGUUCAUACCAAACACACCCUAAAUGUUACUCCCUCCGUUUCAGUUUAUGUGAACCUAUUUCCUUUUUGGUCCGUUCAAAAAAGAAUGACCCAUUUCUAAAUUCGGAAACAACAUUACUUAAACUUACAACUCUACCCUUAAUGAGAAACUUUUAUAACCACACAAAUACUCUGGCCCCUUUUUGACUUAUUUAGGACCACAAAUUCCAAAAUUUUUUAUUUUUUCUUAAACUCUGUGCCCAUUCAAACAAGUUCACAUAAAUUGGAACGGAGGGAGUUGUAGUGAUGAACAUUAAUAACUAUGGUACGCGAUCGCGCGUGAAUCCUGUCUCAAUGAGUAUAAUUUUUUUUAAAUAAUAUUAAAUUAUAAAAUAAAAGUGUAAGUUCCUAAAGAUAAUCAUAAAUAUCGAUGUGCAUAACUAUCUCAAUAAUUAAAGAAACUAUCUUAGAAGUUCUCAACAUCAAUAGUUCAACUUAAAAUUUGUUCCAAGUUUAUAAUUUCAGUAUUUCAGUUUUGCGGGCAAGAACCUUGAAAAUCUAAAUAAUCUUGAAAUAUACAAUUUUCAACAUAUAAGCAGGUAACUAAUAAUCUACGAACUUUAAAUAAACACAAAAUCAAAGUGCAAUAAUAAAUAAAUAAAUAAAGACAUUAAAAAUUAAUAAAUAAAGUAAGUAAGUUAGUAAGAUAUUCUACAAUUGAAAGCUAGCUAAUAAACCCACUCAUAUUUAACUAAAUGUAUCAUGGAUUAAAAAUCAAAGAAUCUCAUAAAUUAUCUUGUUAAUUUUGUGCCCUUUAUUGAUUUCUGCUCAACAUUUCUCAUAAUUAUAAUAGUGCAUUUAAAUUUUUUGAAAGUUAAAAGUAUAAUAUUGAAUAAUAUUGUUAGUGCAAUAGCCUUAUAUAUUUUUAAAAAGUGAAUUAUCUAUGCUAUUGUCCAAGAACUCGUACCUCUUCUUUCUUAAAUAUUUUACUUCUUCUUUUAUUUUAUUUUUUUUUAUCAUUUAUAUAUAGUUUACGUGUAAGACUUAUACAAAGUUCGAAAUGAAAAAAUAAAUAAAUUUUAACUUUCUUAAUUGUUCAAAUAAGAAACAAAUUAAUAAGUAAUUUUUAAUUAAUUUUAAGCUCUAAAAUUUUAAAAAUAACAAUUAAAUAACUAUUAAAUGAAGUGUUUCUUAUAAUAUUUAACAUAAAUUGAGGGACUUCGGAAUAUAUAUAUUUGUGUGAUUAAGAUCAAGUUUGAAAUGAAAAGAAAAGGCAUUAAUUUUAAAUUUUAGUCCUUUAUUGUAGGUAAAUAUUAUUUCCUAAAUAGUAUUCUAUUUGGUUUAAGAAACUCACGAUUUCUUGUUAAUAAAUAUGUUAUGAUGGCCAAAGGCUAAAAUUAAGAUUCUUACUUAGUUUAAUAAGGAAAUAUUUAAUAACCAAAAUUUUAGGUGAUUUAAAUAUCCUAAAUAUUAGGAAAGUAACUUAAAUUAUAAUUAUGUCCAAUAUAAAAUUUAUUUUUAGAGGGUAAAAAGGCGAACGAUAUUUUGUUAAGUAUGUUCGUGUUUUUUAUAUAGUAUAGAUAUAGAUAGAUAGAUAUAAAUAGAUAGAUAUAGAUAGAUUUUGUUUGGUGUUCAUUUCAAUGUUCCAUCUCAGUUCAUAUUAUAUACUCCUAUAUCUAAUCAAAUUGCUAUACAGAAUUCCAUAAACUAAUACCAUGAACAAAUGGACAACUCUAUGGCGGCCUUUUGGAAUUCUUUAAAUGUAACCCCACCAGGAUUUACAUUUGUUUUUAUUUUUUAUUCUUAUUUUUUGGGACCAAAUUUGAAGGAAACAGAUCCUAUGAUGCCCCACAACAUCAACUUAGAUUUUUGGUCAUCUAUUCUAUUAAGAGACGCACACAUCGCAAAAACCAAGAUCCCUUUCUUUCUCCUGUUUCUUCCCAUGGGAUUAUAUGAGUGCGAUUAUUCAUCGAAAAAUACGAAAGGGUUUUUUUACCCUUAUAUCUCUGAGAAGACAAUAGGUAAAACAGUAAUUAAAUUAGAACGACUGAUUGAGUUAUUUAAAGGCCUAAUAUAUAUACUGCCACUUAAAGUUGGUUUCGAUUUUCAUUUUAGCACUUCAAAUAAGAUCAUUACCUAUUAAAUACUUAAAAUCUAACAAAAAUAUACCUAUUGAAUACGAAUGCUGACAUGACAUAGUAGUGAAAUCACACCCUCUUUUGAGAGCGUGGAAAGAAAAAGCAAAGGAAAUAAUUUUUUUAAUUUUUAAUUUUUAUCUUCUCUCCUUAAUUUUAAUUUUAGAGUUUAAUUAGGAAAUAAUUUUUUGCUGUCAUUACCUUUAGGACAGCUCCCACCGAUAGCCACGACCUCCGACACCAACUCCAUCUCCUUUGGUUUGAAAUUCUAAUUUCAUUUUAGAGUUGGAUUCCUUCACUGAAUUGAUUUUAUUCAUCGUUUUUGCUACAUGAGAAUCUAAUUUGAGGAGAAAAUUUUGACUUCCAUUGGAGCAUCGAGCUUGAAUUAAAAAAAAAACAAAUCUGAAAAUUUUGAGUAGAAAUCAAUUGGUUGUUAUAGAUUCUAGUUGGAAACAUUUGUUAGAAUCUGAAUCUAAAGUUUGAGUGCAUUUUUGAGCUGGUUCGAAUUGGAUUUUUGGGUCAAAUAUUUCAGAGGCGCUCGACGAGGAAGAUGGCCUAGGUUUCCUUAAGUUCGUGCCUGUUUGAUCAAAUUAAUUACUGAAUUUUGUUCUAAUUAUCAUUCAGAGUCUAUAGUUACCUUUGAGUUCGAUUGGAGAUGUAUAGGCUGAGAUCGGAUUAACAGAAACUUUAGCAAAAUUGAAGAACACCAACUAAGUUUAUUUUAAUUUGUUAUUGGUUUGUUCAGAUAAAUUGUGAUUGCUUCUACUCAUUAUUUGGAGAAGAUGGGGCCAGAAAAAUUUGGCCAGUGAGGAGUUGGGGACGACGGCAGUAGGAAAUACGCAGGGUUAGGGACGAUGUAGGCAGGAAAAUUUUCUUUUCUUUUCUUUCUUUUUUUCUUCUUAAGGUUUUUNNNNNNNNNNNNNNNNNNNNNNNNNUUAGGGACGUAGUGUAGGUACGUAAGUUAAAUUUUUCUUUCUUUUUCUUUUCUUUUUUUUCUCUUAAGGUUUUAGCUUUUUCUUGUCUUUGUUGAUAUGUCAUUUUAUCAUUGGUCUUGUUUGCCAAAUAGAUAGCAAUUAAUAUUCUAGCACCAAAGAUGAUUUGGGAUUAUCAAAGUUGUAUUUAAUAGGUACACUUUUGUUGGAGUUAGAAGUAUUAAAUAGGUAAUGACCUUAGUUGAAAUGUCAAAAUGGAAAUUGAAGCCAACUUUAAUGGAUUGCGUAUAUAUUUGGCCUUCUGAAUUGUUUGAGUUUUGACCUGAGUAUAAAUGUUAUGAAUAGGAAUUCUUAAUAUUUUGUCGAAGAAACUCUUUCGUUAUUUUUUAACCUCAUUUGUUUCAUCUGUAUAAUUAAUGUACGUAAGUGCCAAAUUAAUGUUUGACUGUACGUUGUUAUUCUUGAUAUUUGUUUCAUCUGUAUAUAUAAAAAUAUGUACAUCUAUAUAUAUAACGAAACUCUUUCGUUAUUUUUGUUUUCUCGUUUGUUGCCUAGUUGUGGUCAAAUUUCGUUGUCAUGAAAAUGUUUUUCCGCCACAAUGAGUACGAUAAGGAUUUUAGCAUAUUUAUUAUUUGGCAAACAAUCAAGUUAAUUUCGGUUUCGGGUUCGAGCGUGAGAAUUGAAUAAGGAAUAUUUUUUUUUCUUUAAUAAGUCUUAUACAACGAAUUUAAAUUAGUCGAAGCUUCAGUGCGAAUAUCGAACACCAAGUGAGAAACAAAAAAUAAGGCAUGCACACAUUGAAUAUUUGACUUUGCAAUUUGCACUUAAACAUUUUCCUUUUGCCACUUCUUUUGGGUAGGAAAUUAAUAACAUUAUGAACUUCAUCAUGCAUGAUAUGAGUACUCUUACAAAUAAUGUCUAAUUAAGUUUUUAUUUUUUAAUUUGUAUUUAUGUUGUUGUUUUUCCCACUUCUUUUUUUCAUUUUUGUGUCUUGUCUACUUUAUCUUCAAAGUUGUGUUAGAAAAGAGAUGUGGUCUUUAACCAAAAAACAAAUAUUUAUCAUCUCAAAGCUGUAAGAGAAGUGGAGUCAACACUGAUAGGGAAUGACAGAAGAACCAAUUGAUCUUAUCUUAAUCCAAAUUCCAUAUUUCUGGUGAAUGAAAACUUGGUCAAGCCAAAGGACCAAUUGGUGUUUAAGAAAACAACUUUUUGGAUUGAAUAAGACGAGAAAUAUCACACACAGGUUCUUCCUCCCUACCAGCUGACAUUUGACUCUAAAAAUCCUAAUCAUAAGAUAUUACAAAACUAUUCUACUCCUACAUUAUUUUUCUGUUAGAAAGAAAGCUGCACUUUUUUUUGUUUCCUAAUAUGGUAUCUGGUAAACGUAACUCUCACAAUUUAAUCAUUAUCUAUUUUAAUUACUUGCCCUUUGACCUUUAGCUAAUGCUAGUGCUUUAGAAAUUGAAGUAGUACUGUAAAAUAACUUCACCCUAUUUAAUUUACCAAUAAAAUAAAAUCAUUGGAGAUGUUAUUGCAGUAAUCGCAAUAACUGCAAUUGUUGCCAAUUGUUAUUUUUAUCAAUCCAACAGGGGGAAAAGGGACACAAUUGGCAACAAAAGUAAUACAAACCCCACAAACAGAGAAAAGGGAUAAGGAAAAGGCAGAAGGGGUUGAUGAGAAUAUACUAUCUGGAUAUAAACAGAAACACCAAAGUUUCAAUCACAAUAAAUAAAUCUGCACUCAACAGUAGUAAUAAUUGAGGAAUUGGAAAUCUAAAAGAAAUUCCAACUUGACAAGUCUCUCAUUUCUCCAUCUAAAAACUUAAGAGAUUAUUACAUAGAUGGAAAUUAAAACAACCAAACAAACUCAAAAGAAAAUUCACACAAAACAGAAGUUACUGAUCUGACUUAAAAACUUACAGAAUCUCACAACUCCAAAAGCAAGCAGUACUUGCCUUUUCUUUAUUUCCUAUCUUACAUCUGAAAAACCACACAAACUUAAAAAGAUAUACUAUAUAUAUAUAUAUAGUAGUAUAUCUUUUUAUUUCCUAACUUACAUCUGAAAAAGCCACACAAACUUAUAAAGGAUAUACUAGUAUAUACUAGUAUAUAUAUAAAUAUAUAUAUAUAUAUGAACAAGUUCAGAGGAACUUGAUGGAAUUACCCUCCUGAUGCAGGAGUUGGUGGUGGAGUGGUGGAAGCUGAGGUGGCGGCGGUGGAGCUGCCGUCAAAGUCGUCAUCUCCACCGGUGCCAUCACCUCCUCUAAAGGGAAAUAGAGAGCUUAUAGUCUCAAGAAAGCUCUCAAUAAUUUUAGCUAUGAUCUUACCCCUUUUCGGCGGAAGUGCAAUAUUUUGUGUCUGUUGGAGAUUUGGUGAAACAGCUGCCAUUAGCAUAUAGUAACAGAAAGAAGUAGCUGGAAUAUAUAUAUAUAUAUAUAUAUAUAUAUAUAUAUAUAUAUAUAUUACCAGGAGAGUGAAGAGAAAAGAAGAAGAAAGAAGGAGAAAUUAAAUUAAACUAGGCUUUGAAAAAACAGCCUGUAUUAUGAGAAUAGGAAGGAAAGAAAGAGAUCAAGAACAAAGGGAGAGAAAUGAAAAGUCAGGGGGAUGUGGCUGGAAAAAGCCCCAUCAGAGAGGAAAGGAGAAGAGGAAAAUGAGAGCUAGAGGGGGAGAAAUACGUGCUGUUUAACCACUCUCAGAUUUUCCUAUAAAUAACCCUCAGGUUUUUUAUAGGAAAGUUUUGAUGGUAUUUACGGAGAAAUUUCUAUUCAUGAAAGUAGCCCACAUUCACACAAAAGUAUAUUAUAAUGUAUUUUUUUCCUAUCUGAGAUUAGGGAAAAUAAUCAAAUAUGUAGUUUAUACUAGUAGUUUUCAAAAAUUGAGUAACUUGACCUUCCGGUCUAGUAUUGUCCUACCGUUAGGAUUUUUUUUUUUUUUUUUGCCCUUGAUUUUAACGGAACUCUAUCUGAAGAGUAUGUUUGAA
Molecule: long non-coding RNA, 23120 nt
Filed under: Nicotiana tabacum (common tobacco)
Lineage: Eukaryota; Viridiplantae; Streptophyta; Magnoliopsida; Solanales; Solanaceae
Description: long non-coding RNA (NTAB_LNC013033)
Source: RNAcentral